RNAcentral lists this ribosomal RNA (484 nucleotides) under uncultured bacterium. RNAcentral describes it as "partial 16S ribosomal RNA". It matches the Rfam family "Bacterial small subunit ribosomal RNA", at positions 30 to 507 of the family's 1533-position model. The record is from RNAcentral.
AUUGAACGCUGGCGGCAGGCCUAACACAUGCAAGUCGAGCGGAUGAAGGGAGCUUGCUCCUGGAUUCAGCGGCGGACGGGUGAGUAAUGCCUAGGAAUCUGCCUGGUAGUGGGGGAUAACGUCCGGAAACGGGCGCUAAUACCGCAUACGUCCUGAGGGAGAAAGUGGGGGAUCUUCGGACCCCACGCUAUCAGAUGAGCCUAGGUCGGAUUAGCUAGUUGGUGGGGUAAAGGCCUACCACGGCGACGAUCCGUAACUGGUCUGAGAGGAUGAUCAGUCACACUGGAACUGAGACACGGUCCAGACUCCUACGGGAGGCAGCAGUGGGGAAUAUUGGACAAUGGGCGAAAGCCUGAUCCAGCCAUGCCGCGUGUGUGAAGAAGGUCUUCGGAUUGUAAAGCACUUUAAGUUGGGAGGAAGGGCAGUAAGUUAAUACCUUGCUGCUUUGACGUUACCAACAGAAUAAGCACCGGCUAACUUCGUG